UGCGCAGGCGGCCUGUUAAGUCAGGGGUGAAAUAUGACGGCUCAACCGUCAAACUGCCCCUGAAACUGACAGGCUUGAGUCCGGGAGAGGUAGGUGGAAUUCCAGGUGUAGCGGUGAAAUGCGUAAAUAUCUGGAGGAACACCAGUGGCGAAGGCGGCCUACUGGCCCGGAACUGACGCUCAGGCACGAAAGCAUGGGGAGCGAACAGGAUUAGAUACCCUGGUAGUCC
RNAcentral lists this ribosomal RNA (229 nucleotides) under uncultured bacterium. RNAcentral's name for it is "partial 16S ribosomal RNA". It matches the Rfam family "Bacterial small subunit ribosomal RNA", at positions 568 to 796 of the family's 1533-position model. The record is from RNAcentral.